RNAcentral lists this ribosomal RNA (556 nucleotides) under uncultured bacterium. Its description in RNAcentral is "partial 16S ribosomal RNA". It matches the Rfam family "Bacterial small subunit ribosomal RNA", at positions 355 to 901 of the family's 1533-position model. The record is from RNAcentral.
UAGGGAAUCUUCCACAAUGGACGCAAGUCUGAUGGAGCAACGCCGCGUGAGUGAAGAAGGUUUUCGGACCGUAAAGCUCUGUUGUUGGUGAAGAAGGAUAGAGGUAGUAACUGGCCCUUUAUUUGACGGUAAUCAACCAGAAAGUCACGGCUAACUACGUGCCAGCAGCCGCGGUAAUACGUAGGUGGCAAGCGUUGUCCGGAUUUAUUGGGCGUAAAGCGAGCGCAGGCGGAAGAAUAAGUCUGAUGUGAAAGCCCUCGGCUUAACCGAGGAAUUGCAUCGGAAACUGUUUUCUUGAGUGCAGAAGAGGAGAGUAGAACUCCAUGUGUAGCGGUGGAAUGCGUAGAUAUAUGGAAGAAUACCAGUGGCGAAGGCGGCUCUCUGGUCUGCAACUGACGCUGAGGCUCGAAAGCAUGGGUAGCGAACAGGAUUAGAUACCCUGGUAGUCCAUGCCGUAAACGAUGAGUGCUAAGUGUUGGGAGGCUUCCGCCUCUCAGUGCUGCAGCUAACGCAUUAAGCACUCCGCCUGGGGGAGUACGACCGCAAGGUUGAAACU